GAAAGUGUGGCUCAGCGGUAGAGAGAGCACCUGCCUAGCAUGCAGAAGACUCUGGGUUCCAUCCCCAGUACCA
RNAcentral lists this transfer RNA (73 nucleotides) under Marmota marmota marmota (Alpine marmot). It matches the Rfam family "tRNA". From Rfam's summary of the family: Transfer RNA (tRNA) molecules are approximately 80 nucleotides in length. Their secondary structure includes four short double-helical elements and three loops (D, anti-codon, and T loops). Lineage: Eukaryota; Metazoa; Chordata; Mammalia; Rodentia; Sciuridae. The record is from Rfam by way of RNAcentral. RNAcentral also lists the same sequence under 3 other names.